CCCGCAGCGCAGCAGUCAGGAGCGGGCGGGGCGUGCGCGCGUGUCUUCCCCCGGACCUGGCAGGCACGUGUGCAGAGGAUGGCCUCAACCAGGUCUGCGUGCAGCUCAAGCUGCAACACAACGUAGCCGGUCCAGCCUGGCCUGUCCUUCCUCGAAGGGAAAGCAACAACUGAAGCACAGCCAGGGGGCUACAUUCAGAAAGUGAAAAUGAUUCAAGGAUUCAACUUGGACUUUCCCAGAGACUGAUUUAUUGUCCAGAGACAGUGUUGCCAACUCAGGCAGUCGGCAAUACUGAGAUAAAUCUAAAAAUGCUGAUGGCAAAUAGCCUGAAAUUGUAAUUGAUGAUGCUGGCCUGUGCUUGUGGGUUCAGAGGUGGUGUUACAAAGUGAGACAAGGCUGCAGCAAUUCCAACCAUUUCUGGAUCUUUUUUUCAUCCUUCCCCAUUUCUUUUUGCAGCCGAAAGCUAGGGGGAGAGGGUGGCAGAGAUAUUGUUAAUGCUUUGGAAAAGAAGCUUAAGAAAUGUUUCUUGCUGAAAGCAAAACGGUGAAUUACCACAUGCUUGUGUUAAUAUUGUAGGUCAGACCCUGCCCCCCCCAAGGAACCCAGUACCAGAUAGAAGGAUUUACACUAGCUUGUAAACAUUUUUCUUAGCAGAUUUAAAGCUCUACUUGUAUAGUGUGUGUGCUACAAAUUUUUUUACAGCAGCAUUUUAAGUUGAAACAAUCUCCAGCCAAAUCUGAAAUGCUUUUUAAACCCUUUUAAGUGUGUUUGUGUCCAUAUCCAUAUGCAUGUCCAUGUUACAUUCUUACAAUAUAAUAAAGUAUUCAUUUAUUUCAAACAUAAA
This is a long non-coding RNA of Alligator mississippiensis (American alligator), 844 nucleotides long. RefSeq lists it as uncharacterized. NCBI's taxonomy places the organism in Eukaryota, Metazoa, Chordata, Crocodylia, Alligatoridae. The transcript is spliced from 2 exons. The record is from RefSeq and is a predicted model, not a curated record.